CAUUGUUCUGAUCAUCUGAAGAUCAGCCAGCUAUUAGAAGAGAAAGAUCAGUUAAGUCCUUUGGACCUGAUCAGCUUGAUACAAGAACUACUGAUUUCAACUUCUUUGGCUUAAUUCUCUCGGAAACGAUGAAAUAUACAAGUUAUAUCUUGGCUUUUCAGCUCUGCAUCGUU
Molecule: regulatory RNA element, 173 nt
Organism: Gorilla gorilla gorilla (western lowland gorilla)
Lineage: Eukaryota; Metazoa; Chordata; Mammalia; Primates; Hominidae
Rfam family: Interferon gamma 5' UTR regulatory element
About the family: This family represents a pseudoknot containing stem-loop structure found in the 5' UTR of interferon (IFN) gamma mRNA.
Source: Rfam